GAUGAACGCUGGCGGCGUGCCUAAUACAUGCAAGUCGAGCGAACGGACGAGAAGCUUGCUUUUCUGAUGUUAGCGGCGGACGGGUGAGUAACACGUGGAUAACCUACCUAUAAGACUGGGAUAACUUCGGGAAACCGGAGCUAAUACCGGAUAAUAUUUUGAACCGCAUGGUUCAAAAGUGAAAGACGGUCUUGCUGUCACUUAUAGAUGGAUCCGCGCUGCAUUAGCUAGUUGGUAAGGUAACGGCUUACCAAGGCAACGAUGCAUAGCCGACCGGGGAGGCGGAUCGGCCACACUGGAGCUGAGCCACGCUCCAGACGCCUGCGGGAGGGAGCAGAAGGGAAUCGGCCGCAACGGGCGAAAGCCUUACGGAGCAACGCGGCGUGAGUGGUGGAGGUCUUCGGUUCGUAAAACUCGGUUAUUGGUGAAGAACAUAUGUGUAAGGAGCUGUGCACAACGUGACGGUACCUAAUCAAAAAGCCACGGCUAACUACGUG
This 497-nucleotide ribosomal RNA is filed under the name uncultured bacterium. Its description in RNAcentral is "partial 16S ribosomal RNA". It matches the Rfam family "Bacterial small subunit ribosomal RNA", at positions 28 to 507 of the family's 1533-position model. The record is from RNAcentral.